RNAcentral lists this long non-coding RNA (2916 nucleotides) under Mytilus galloprovincialis (Mediterranean mussel). Lineage: Eukaryota; Metazoa; Mollusca; Bivalvia; Mytilida; Mytilidae. The record is from RNAcentral.
GGUGCCUAUGUUAAUGUAUGAAAAUUCUAAGAGCGAAUCAUUUCAGUCAAAUUUCCAAUUGAUUAAACCUAAAAAAAACCCAAGGAUUUAGAUCUGUCAUCUUUUUCCAACUUUUUAAGUUUGGUUGUUUAUAUACUACCAAUUUAUAAGUCUUUUAAAAAGCUUGUUGUUCUAAAAUAGAGGAGCUAGCAUCCUUCUAGCAAUGAUAAAAUAUAUGUGAUGAGGGAAAAAAAUUAAAAUAUGUGACUGGGGAAUGAGAGAGCAUGGUGGUUUAUACUGAAAUUAUAUAAAUAAAAUAGUUCAGUUGUUGUCUUGAAAAGUUUUUGGACAUCAAAAUCUUAAUUAAUGUCUUUAUAAUACUGAUUAAAACAAAACCUGAUAUAUUUUACAGGAUAUCCAGAUCCCAUGGUUUGUUUAUCUUCCCUUACAUAAGGUAAUGACUACUAACUAUAUUUCAACUACUGGUAAUAACUCAAUGUGUAGUUCUUUAUCAGUAUAUAAAUUGUAAACUAAUUAAAAUAUGUGAUGAAAGUACCAGGCAGCAUAAAAAAUGUUACAAAAUGUUAAAUGAGUACAAAGGUCUGUUAUACUUUGAGCAAGAACAAACAUUCACAUAAUUAUGAUGAAAAAUGCUAGAUUUAAUAUAUGCAAUACUGUGGACUCAUUAUUAUUUGUAGGAUACCAAUUUUUGUUGAUUUCAUGGGUUGAUGUAAACCAUGAAUUUAUAAAUGUUUGUUUGCAGACUUUGGCAAAACUAUUAAAUCAAAUAUCUGCCAAACUACAGAUUUCCCUCAAUCUACUAAAACUGGUACCCAUGAAUCCACAGUACAAGUUCAUUCAAUAACAUUGUAUACACAGCAACUUAUAUAAUGUGGAAUUGUUACGGAGACAAGGAAGAUAACUGGCUCACAAGAGAUAAACAUUCAAUGUUCAGGUUUUUAAGUUCCAAAAUAUCUAUAAAUGACUUAAAUGACAAUAUUAUGUGAAACUGUAUGGACUGGCCUUAUAAACAUAUUAAAAUCUCCAUCACUUAACUUCCAAAUGUUUUCAAAGUUUUGACUCUUCCUCAUUUGUAACCAGACUCUAUAAAAUUUCGAAACUAAUUAGAGUCUUUCCAAAUGUUUGUAAUUUUAAACGUGAAAACUCAAUUAAAGUUGAAAAUAAAAACUAUACUGGUUGGAACUGUAAAAUCCUGUGAGCAAUAAAACAGAGUCAAUGUAAUCAUUACAGGCAAAAUUAAAAUUGCAGCAAUAAAAGUGAUUGACACAGAUAUGUAUAUGAAAAAAAGGAAUAAAUUAUACAAUCAGAAGUUAUUUUCGUGUCCUGCCAGUACAUAUAGAUUGGAAUUUGCAUUAAGAUCGUCUGUUGGUCUGCUCUGUAAUACAAUAACCCUGCAAAAGAUAAAGAAUAUUAAAAAGAUAUCUUAGUAUUUGUGAAAUCUCAACCAAAGUUAACAGUAAAUAAACUUAACACAGAUAUAUAUGUAGGACUCUAAAGUGCGAUGGUACUCUAAAGUGCGAUGGUCACGCUAAAGUACGAUGGUCUACGCUAAAGUGCGUUGGUGUCGGACGCUAAAGUGCGAUGGUGUCGGACGCUAAAGUGCGAUGGUUGUUUGUUUUUAAAGUGCGAUUAGAAAUCACGCUAAAGUGCGAUGGUUUGACACGCUAAAGUCCGAUGGUGUAACGGGAAUGUGGUUCAGGCAAUGGUUUUCGUUUGUUGCUGAGUUCCUAUUACAUUUUCGUUUAAAUUGUUUUGAUUAUGUGUCAAGCCGUAGUCUUUAUCUUUUGAAUUGUUUUACACUGGUCAUUGUAUAACCCUAUAUAGCCUGUAGUGGCAUGGACCAAUGCUUUACUUUGACGGCCGUAUGAUUAUUAGCCGCAUACAUGAACGGCAUUUGGAAUUGAAUGGAUAGUUUACUCUACAUCUUCUUAUGUUUAUUUAAAGUACGAUAGUUGUUUAAAAGGUGUAAUGGUUACACAGAAGUAUUGUUUGUACAUCUGGAAUGUAGUGGAAGUCGUUUUUUUAAUAAAAAUAUUAUGUUAUAAGACAAUGCCCAGUGUUAAAGAUCAUACUUAAAGUUUCAUAUUUCAAUGACAUUAGGUCGAAGAUAGAUAGUUGUCGUAUAUUGGCAAUCAUAUAGUAUGAUGAUACUACAAAUCUGUUUGUUAGGUUGCUGUCUAAUUGACAUAUGCUAGUAUUUAUUAUUUAACAGAAAAAACAAACCGUAUAGUAUUUUUUUUGUAUUGAAUAAUUCAAUUAGAAAGUAAAUGUUUUGAUUAAAGUUAUUUCUACAAUUUCAUAAAUUAAGUUAAACUAUUCCAGGAACGACCAAAAAUUCCAGAUUGUGAUCAUUUUUUUUUUUCUUCUCUUGUUUUUUUUUCUCGUGUAAUAAAAAUCCUUAAUCUGGACAAACAUUCUCGUCAUAAUGCUUUCAAACGUUUAUAACGUCGAUGUAUUUGCAGAAAAACGCACAUUAGUGUAUCAAACCAUCGUACUUUAGCGUAGGCCAUCGCACUUUAGCGUGACCAUCACAUUUUAGCGUCCCCAUCGCACUUUAGAGUCCUACAUAUAUACCUCACCUUUUUAUAAUUUUGAUAAUGAAAGUCUUUAGAUUAAAAACUAGAGGCUCUCAAGAGCCUGUGUCGCUCACCUGUUACUGUAUUUACUGAUGUCAGCCAUCUCGGUUGGUAGGCGGGGUCAUUAGACACUUUUUUAAAAUAGAUACCCUAGUAAUGAUUGUGGCCAAGUUUGGUUAAAUUUGACCCAUAGUUUUAGAAAAGAAGAUUUUUGUACAAGUUACAAAAAUGACAAAAAGUUGUUCAAUAUUGACUAUAAAGGACAAUAACUCCUUAAGGGGUUCUCUGACAAUUUUGGUCAUGUUGACUUAUUUGUAGAUCUUAAUUUGCUGAACAUAAU